Molecule: long non-coding RNA, 899 nt
Organism: Ahaetulla prasina
Lineage: Eukaryota; Metazoa; Chordata; Lepidosauria; Squamata; Colubridae
Exons: 2
Source: RefSeq, a predicted model, not a curated record
GGGGAAGGAGGGGGAGGAGAGAAAAGGAGAGAGGGAGGGGAAGGGGAGGGGAAAGGCAGGCUCCCAUUUCCAAGUCCCAGCAGCCCAGCCAUCUCAAGGACAAGGGUGGGGAGGGGUUCAAAACCUCUCCUCCCUUUCCCUCCCCUCCCUCUCUCCUUUUCCCUCCCCCUGAUCCAAAGCCCCUUUACUGGGAACUACAUGGCUUUCCCCGCGUGCCCAAGGCCCCUCCUCAGGCGUGCGGGGAAUCCCUCUUGAGAUCCGUCGGCCCUUUUUGCUCCCGCCUUCCGUUCCGAUCCAGCCCUGAGACCGAAAGUGCGACAGCAUAAUCGGGGAAGGAACCGGGAUGUGGAGACACGUGAAGGUGCUUUGGAGAACAGCCCGACUCCCUCUUCUUUGUGGCAACCCCUGAGAUAUUGGAAGACUGCUAUCAUGUCUCCCCUGGUCCUUCUUUGCAGAUCCCUCGCAUCCUGGACAUAAACUGUUUCAACUCCUACCCUCAAAACGACGCUAUAGAGCAUUGCACACCAGAACAACUAGACACAAGAACAGUUUUUCCCCGAAGGCCAUCACUCUGCUAAACAAAUAAUUCCCUCAACACUGUCAGACUAUUUACUGAAUCUGCACUAUUAUUAAUCUUCUCAUCGUUCCCAUCACCAAUCUCUUUCCAUUUAUGACUGUAUGACUAUAACUUGUUGCUGGCAAUCCUUAUGAUUUAUAUUGAUAUAUUGACCAUCAAUUGUGUUGUAAAUGUUGUACCUUGAUGAAGGUAUCUUUUCUUUUAUGUACACUGAGAGCCUAUGCACCAAAGACAAAUUCCUUGUGUGUCCAAUCACACUUGGCCAAUAAAAAAUUCUAUUCUAUUCUAAUUCUAUUCUUUUCAUUAAACGAGCCAUACCCAA